Molecule: ribosomal RNA, 546 nt
Filed under: uncultured fungus
Lineage: Eukaryota; Fungi
Description: eukaryotic LSU rRNA
Rfam family: 5.8S ribosomal RNA (bases 153-306)
Source: RNAcentral
UUUGGCUUUAUGCCCUCUGAAAUCUCCACCCUUUGUUUACAUUACCUUUGUUGUUGCCUCGGUGGGUGCCUAUGCACCUGCCGGCAGACACCUUAAAACCCUUGAUUAACACUAUAGUCAGAGCUGUAACAAGCAAAAAUUUAAUAAAUUAAAACUUUUAACAACGGAUCUCUUGGUUCUGGCAUCGAUGAAGAACGCAGCGAAAUGCGAUAAGUAAUGUGAAUUGCAGAAUUCAGUGAAUCAUCGAAUCUUUGAACGCACAUUGCGCCCUUUGGUAUUCCGAAGGGCACACCUGUUCGAGCGUCAUUACACCAAUCAAGUCUUACUUGGUAUUGGGCUCUUUGUCCCUAUUUUUUAGGGACAGGCCUUAAAGACAUUGGCGGCAUAGUCCGGCUUCGAGCGUAGCAAAAACAUCGCUUUUGGAGUUAACUGGAUUAUUGUUCCUUGUCCAUAAAAUUAGAGUAGAAAUACUCGACUUUUUCUAAAGGUUGACCUCGGAUCAGGUGGGGAUACCCGCUGAACUUAAGCAUAUCAAUAAGCGGAGGA